AAGUGCUAAUAGAAAAUCUUCUGUGCUUAGCUUCACUGGAGUGUCAACACUUAAUACUAGUUAUGUAGAAUUACAACUUUAUAUUUAUUACAGUAAAUACACAGGCAUGUAAGGAAAAAUUCUAGAACAGUUUUUCUUAGUAUGGUAAAAAUUUUAAUCACCAUUUCACUUUUGAAGAUCAUUCUCUCUUGCACAGAGCACUAAAUUCAGUACGAGAUCUGCUAUGAUGUUUCUCUCUUAUAUGUAACCAAGAAAUUUCCCAUGCUGUCACUAAGAAUCAGGUAUUCCUCCUGCUUUCUGCUAAAGGACCUAAAAUUAUAUUGGAAAUAUCAUCAAAGGAUAAAUCAUACUGGAUCUUCUUUUGGUUACAUUUAUAGGGUAGGAGCUGCCACUCAGUGACCAUGUCAAGGGCACGUUGGCUCUCAGCCCCAGCCACUCUCCCAUGGCCAGCACACAAGGCCACCACAGCCUGGUCCUGACGUGAUACCCAAGACCGGUGGGUACGAGGGGCAUCUGCUUCACUGCUUCUCAAUAUUGGACCAGUUUCUUAAAACUAUUUUCCAGGAAUAGACAAACCCUACCUGCAAACCAAGAAGACAGAUUUUGGCCUAUGUUUAGCAAUAUUCUCUUGCCAUGAUGGAGAGUAUCCUCUCAUGAACAACGAUUAUAAAUCUGUCAAUCACCCUAUGUAACUUCUCAAAUGAAGCAGCUAAAGCCAUAGCUGCCCAAUAAAAAUCUUUAAACUCUUUAGCCACAGUAGUAAUGGAUAACAGAAUACCCCUAGACUAAGUAUUGGUGGAACAGGAAAGAGUUUCUAUGGUAGCUAACAUAUCAUGUUGUGUUUACAUCAAUACAUCUUCUGAAGUUGAAACACACAUGAAAUAAGAAGACAACAAGCUAAUUAAUCACAACAAAUUCCCAGGGAAGAACCAGGUGCCAACUAGUUCUCAGAUAUAUUUUUCUGAAUCCCACAUAGAAUUCAAUGUAUGCCCCCAAGCCAUAUGAAAAUUAAGACUUUACCUAUUACUAAUGCUCAUUUUUGGACAUUUGGUUAUCAAAUGCUGCCUCUGAUGUUAAACCUUUAAACUGUUAAAAGAGAAACCAAUGUAUUAAUAAUGCUAAAUGUUAAUAUUGUACCAGAUAUUAGAGAAUAUCUUCAACUUAAUGCAAAAUGAUUUCAUCCUUUAGGCCCAAACCUGCACCCCUAGUCAGUAGGAAAAAGCUAGAAUGGAUGUUGCCCCUAAUCCCUCAUGACUGAAGAAUGCACAUAGAACAGGGGGGAUUUAAACCAUGACCCAAAGAUUUAGUUAAAGAAACCAAUGGCUAAAAGAAGUUAUUGAGUUUGCAGGUUGGCAGAUUAAAAAAAGAAGAAGAGGAAACAACAACAACAACAACAAAACAACAACAACAACAACAAAAA
RNAcentral lists this long non-coding RNA (1420 nucleotides) under Homo sapiens (human). RNAcentral describes it as "long intergenic non-protein coding RNA 2431". The record is from RNAcentral. Lineage: Eukaryota; Metazoa; Chordata; Mammalia; Primates; Hominidae.